UGCUGAAGUUGCUGAAAUUGCUAAAUUGCUAAAGCUGCUAAACGCUAAAGCUGAUGGCCAGCUAAAAUAUUAGCUAAAUUCCAAAUUAACCGAAAAAACUAACCAAAAAAAAAGAAGCAAUACAAGCCUUUGGACCGACCCAUUUGUGAUUACGAACACUGUAAACCCUAAAAAUCACUUUCUUGCAAACCUCAAUUCCUUUAUGCAACAAGAAAAGCUCUGAUGUUGAAGCUAAAAGUCAGAGGAUCUAGGGAGGAGCCUUGUGGUGCUCCAACAUUACAGCUGCCUCGCCGCGCAGCACAAACACCUGCCGAUCUCCAACCGCACUGACACAGAAGUCCCCUCUGCCUGGUGAUAACCUGACCUUUAGUGUGCGACGGGAAAAGACGCGGCGUGGACGUUUGUGAAGAGGCUGUGACAUCUCUCUUUCCCUGCUGUGCUCCACCACUCGCUCCAUUUCGCCUUGUUUACUCACUAUUUAUGACUUUUUUCCCUCUCUGCACACACGCUUCUCCCUCCGCUUUGAUCUGUGUGUUCUGAAGUGUUUUUGAAACGCUCGUCUUUUGUUCCCGCCCGAGUCCCGUCUUUUCUCCUACGAGCAGCGUCUUCAGAGGCGCAGAGGCGUCCGUUUCUGUCAUCCUUCUCUGUCGUCUUUGUGUGCGUCUGAGCUGCAGAGUGUCUCUGUAUGUGGGCCUCUGCAAACCUGCAGAGAAACUGACUACACAAUGACUUCACAAUGGCUGCCGCGCCGUUAUCUUGACAGCAGAGGAGCCUCUUUUUGUCUGCAGUCGACUUUGUCGUCAAAGGCCUGCGUGUCCAAGAGCAUCGUUUUUCCCUGAAGGACCACCAGAGAGGGCACGUUUGAGAACUCUGACUUUUUACCCACAAAAGACAGGAGAUGGUAGUAAAGCAAGAAUGAAAGGGGAGGUCAAGGAUCCCAUUAGCGAUACCUUGAACUCUCUUGUUGAGGCUCCUUAAAACUGUAAUGACUGGGAAUUUGUCGAGUUUUUUUUAUGUUUCUGUCACAAAAAAAUGGGAAAAAGUGUCAAAAUAACCAUUUCUCAUCUUGAUUGACAACCACAGAUGGAAACGUGGGAUGCAACCUGGAAUCUGUGCAACCAUUAGGUCAAACAUUGGUUUUCCUUCAAUCUCAAACCCAUAUUAUGCCAAUAUCAAGACUAACAGUUCUCGACUGGCUGGAGACACCUGGAAUGACUUUAAGGCAGCAUCUUGAAACUCAAACAGAGACACAACCUAUCCAUCCAUGUCCAUCCAUCUUCUCAAUGUGGAGAAGUCGGUACUUAUCUUUGGAUACCAACACUGUUGGCAUUUUAUUGUUGAUUUCUUGACCAUAGGUUGUUACUUUUUGCAUGAAUUUUCUAAAAAAAAAAAAAAA
Long non-coding RNA from Oryzias melastigma (Indian medaka), 1396 nucleotides. RefSeq lists it as uncharacterized. Lineage: Eukaryota; Metazoa; Chordata; Actinopteri; Beloniformes; Adrianichthyidae. The record is from RefSeq and is a predicted model, not a curated record. The transcript has 2 exons.